RNAcentral lists this ribosomal RNA (502 nucleotides) under uncultured bacterium. RNAcentral's name for it is "partial 16S ribosomal RNA". It matches the Rfam family "Bacterial small subunit ribosomal RNA", at positions 30 to 523 of the family's 1533-position model. The record is from RNAcentral.
AUUGAACGCUGGCGGCAGGCUUAACACAUGCAAGUCGAGCGGAGUGAUGGUGCUUGCACUAUCACUUAGCGGCGGACGGGUGAGUAAUGCUUAGGAAUCUGCCUAUUAGUGGGGGACAACAUCUCGAAAGGGAUGCUAAUACCGCAUACGUCCUACGGGAGAAAGCAGGGGAUCUUUAUGACCUUGCGCUAAUAGAUGAGCCUAAGUCGGAUUAGCUAGUUGGUGGGGUAAAGGCCUACCAAGGCGACGAUCUGUAGCGGGUCUGAGAGGAUGAUCCGCCACACUGGGACUGAGACACGGCCCAGACUCCUACGGGAGGCAGCAGUGGGGAAUAUUGGACAAUGGGGGGAACCCUGAUCCAGCCAUGCCGCGUGUGCGAAGAAGGCCUUAUGGUUGUAAAGCACUUUAAGCGAGGAGGAGGCUUACCUAGUUAAUACCUGGGAUAAGUGGACGUUACUCGCAGAAUAAGCACCGGCUAACUCUGUGCCAGCAGCCGCAGUAA